AGCAGCCGCGGUAAUUCCAGCUCCAAUAGCGUAUAUUAAAGUUGUUGCAGUUAAAAAGCUCGUAGUUGAAUUUCGGGGUCAGUAGGUCGGUCGUGCCACUGGUAUGAACUGGUUUUACUGAUUCCUCCCUCUUGAAGAACUGUAAUGCCAUUAAUUUGGUGUUGCAGGGAAUCAGGACUGUUACUUUGAAAAAAUUAGAGUGUUUAAAGCAGGCUUUAGCUUGAAUACAUUAGCAUGGAAUAAUGAAAUAGGACGUUUGGUCCUAUUUUGUUGGUUUCUAGGAUUGACGUAAUGAUUAAUAGGGAUAGUUGGGGGCAUUAGUAUUCAAUUGUCAGAGGUGAAAUUCUUGGAUUUAUUGAAGACUAACUACUGCGAAAGCAUUUGCCAAGGAUGUUUUCAUUAAUCAAGAACGAAAGUUAGGGGAUCGAAGACGAUCAGAUACCGUCGUAGUCUUAACCAUAAACUAUGCCGACUAGGGAUCGGAUGAUGUUAAUUUUUUAAUGACUCAUUCGGCGCCUUA
This 520-nucleotide ribosomal RNA is filed under the name uncultured Glomus. Its description in RNAcentral is "SSU rRNA". It matches the Rfam family "Eukaryotic small subunit ribosomal RNA", at positions 569 to 1090 of the family's 1831-position model. The record is from RNAcentral. Lineage: Eukaryota; Fungi; Glomeromycota; Glomeromycetes; Glomerales; Glomeraceae.